UUUUUAAUUAAUUAAUUAAUUUUGCUUUAUUUUUUGUCUUUUACAAUAAUACUCACGUGAAUUUUAAAUAAACAUUUUCCACAUCACUUUAUUUUAUUUUUGUUUUAGGGGUGUUUUUGUCCAUUUAUUUUAUUUUUUGUUUUUGGUGAAGCCCUUUAACUCAACUGAUUUUAUGCUGGCUUUAUAAUAGUAGAGAUAAAGUAUUUUUGAGUUGAGUGUCUCUCUCACUCUCUUUUGUUUUGUUUUACAAUAGUAGUUUUCUUGAGGGAGUCUCAGAGAAAACUUUGAAGACUGAAAAAAUAAAACUUGAUUACAAUCUGUCUACAAUUGAGACUGAAACCUCUAUUUAAAAAGCAGAAUCAAGAGUGUCGGCAACAUUGGAUGCUUGAAAUUUUAUUAUUGAAGCAUGGAUCUUUCGCUAUUGCUUUAACUGGAGCAUCAUUCUUACUUUUGACUUUUCUUUUGCUUUUUCUUGCUUUCAUGAUGACUACUUUCAUGAGGACUGUUGGAGAAUAUUAACUAUGUGGCUUUUGCCUUUAUUAACUAGUCUUCACUGAGAUUGUAAGGAUCUUGACUAUCAGGAUAAUUUGCCCACCAAAAUUUUGGGGUAGAAUCUUUUUGACUUGGCGGAAUUUGAGGCAGACCGGUAGAAGAUUGGGACUUUGGAGAAGCAUCAGGAUCAUCUUCUUCAUCAUCCAUUUGGGAAGCUUGGAGCAUUAACUGUCGGGCAAUUUCUUUUAACUCAGACUUGGAUCUUCCUUCGAUUGGGAGGGAAGAGUGAGAUGUGCCAGAGGUGGAAGGCUUCUGGGAAGCAUUGACUGGGGGAAACUCUAUGUUGACUUGAUCAAUGAUUCUUUCGAUUUUGAAUUUAUCCCACCAUUUGACCGAAAAUUGACAAGAUAAGACUCAGGAAUUCCAAUUGACAUGGUAAGACCAUUUUAAAAUCCAGGGAACUUUAUAUUUUGCUAAAAUAUGAGAAGAUUAGGAAAAAAUAAUUAUGACUCCAUGAAUUUAUAUUUAUUGAAAAAAUAAUUAACUGACUCUUGCAUUUGGGGAGGAAGGAUAUCAAUGAUUGGGCCAUGUUUUUCCCACCAAUGAAGAAACUAAUAGAGAAAGGGAAUUUUGAAUUUGCUGUCAAAACUAAUAAACCAUGAGUGACUGAAAUCAAUUGUUUGGUGGAGGAAAAUGGUAUACCAGGCUUCGAUGUAAUCAUAAUAGCAAUAUUGGGGGGGUUGACUGGAGGGUUUUUAGAUCAUAAGGGUGAUGUGAGGAUUAUUGCAGUCUUUGAUUGGCUUAAUUUCCACAGACUGGGUUUCAUUGAGAAUGUCUCUAUAGUAUUUAAGAGACUUGGGUGGAUGUUGGAGAACAUAAUGAAAAUUGGGGGGAAAAUAAGCUUUUGCAAUUGUGACUGGAUUGGAAAAGUUGUCAUAUUUGGACUAAAUGAUAAAAAGAUGAGUUUUACUUCUUGAGGAAUAUGGGGAUGACUUUUGUAAAGGCACUAGAGACUAGGAAAUUUGGGUAUUGAUUUGAAAGGGAUCAUAACUAGAAAUUAAAGUUGACUGAUAAUUUGGGCGGACUUGGCUGACUGUGGAACCAAGGGUAGUGAAUCUAUUUCUGAUUUGGAUGGGGGAGCAUCCCGGGAAAGGGACGAUUUGAGAAGGUGGCUCUGUUUUGACUGGAGUCAUUGAUGCCGGGAGUGUUCUAAGUGAUUGGGGUUGACUGGUUUGACACAUUUGCUCUUUUUGCUUAUUGGGUCUUCUUGCUGCCAUUGUUUUUCCUGGAGAAAUUCUCUAGUAAGAAAAUCUGGAAUGGAGUUCUCACUUCCUCUCAGAUAUUCAAUAUUAAAAUAAAAAAUACUUAAAAUAGCU
RNAcentral lists this long non-coding RNA (1868 nucleotides) under Prunus persica (peach). RNAcentral describes it as "long non-coding RNA (PPER_LNC002004)". Lineage: Eukaryota; Viridiplantae; Streptophyta; Magnoliopsida; Rosales; Rosaceae. The record is from RNAcentral.